RNAcentral lists this ribosomal RNA (399 nucleotides) under uncultured bacterium. RNAcentral's name for it is "bacterial SSU rRNA". It matches the Rfam family "Bacterial small subunit ribosomal RNA", at positions 355 to 771 of the family's 1533-position model. The record is from RNAcentral.
UGGGGAAUCUUAGACAAUGGGGGAAACCCUGAUCUAGCCAUGCCGCGUGAGCGAUGAAGGCCUUAGGGUUGUAAAGCUCUUUCAGCUGGGAAGAUAAUGACGGUACCAGCAGAAGAAGCCCCGGCUAACUCCGUGCCAGCAGCCGCGGUAAUACGGAGGGGGCUAGCGUUGUUCGGAAUUACUGGGCGUAAAGCGCACGUAGGCGGAUCAGAAAGUCAGAGGUGAAAUCCCAGGGCUCAACCUUGGAACUGCCUUUGAAACUCCUGGUCUUGAGGUCGAGAGAGGUGAGUGGAAUUCCGAGUGUAGAGGUGAAAUUCGUAGAUAUUCGGAGGAACACCAGUGGCGAAGGCGGCUCACUGGCUCGAUACUGACGCUGAGGUGCGAAAGCGUGGGGAGCAA